GGCCGGUCCUGUCCGGCCGUGCCCAUUGCUGGGAUUCCUGUGGCGCCCUGGGGACACCAUCAUAACCAGGCCAGAGGCUGGUGCUGGGGCCAGAAUCACAGAACAUCCCAAGCAGGAAGGGACACACUGGGAUCAUACUCACUCCCAUUACAAUGAUUCCAGUAAUUUCAAUUAGAUGAAUUAUCACAUAAUCAUGGAAUGGUUUGGGUUGGAAGGGACCUUAAAUCUCAUCUCAUUCCAAUCUCCUGUCCUGGAUAGGGACACCUCACACUACCCCAGGCUGAUCCAGGCCCCAGUGUCCAAUCUGGCCCUGGACACUGCUAGGGAUCCAGGGACAGCCACAGCUGCUCUGGGCACCUUGUGCCAGGGCCUGCCAACCUUCCCAGGGGACAAUUCCUUCCCAAUAGCUCAUGUAGCCCUGCCCUCUGGCAAUGCUGUUCAGAAAAUACUCAGAACAUCAGAGGUUUAUGACCAAAAGGAGACUGAGGAGUUGUAAAACUUCAUUCAAAUAAAGGGAAAGAGGCUACUGGGGCACACAUCCGCAGGGAUUUCUCUGUCAAGGUUUAGGAGGGCCCAGCCUCCUUUUGUCCUAAAUUCCUGGUCUCUUCCUUUCCCCAUGGGCUAAGGUAUUAUGAAGGUCCACCCUUGCCCAACCACUUAACCCAUAUCCCACCUUGAACCUGUUAUUUUACCUCAUAGUGCAGAAGUUCAGCCUUGUGCAGACCCAUUUAUCUGUUCCAGGAGCCAAGCUGUCUGGGCUCUGCAACAAAACUGAUGCUUGAAUUUGGUAGAGAUACUAAGAUUCAUUUUAAAACCACUAACACCCAUCCCCUCACCCAUGGGAUUGUUUGCAAAGUCAUUAGCGUUCCUACCAGUGGGAGCCAUUCCCUGUGUCCUGUCCCUCCAGCCCUUGGCAAUUGUCUCUCUCCAUCUUUCCUGCAGCUCCUUCAGGCCCUGCAAGGCCACACUGAGCUCAGCCCAAAGCUUCUACUGUGCAGCUGGAAAUAUCACAGAAUCAUGGACUAUCCACAGUUGGAAGGGACCCAGCAGGAUCAUUGAGUCCAAUUCCUGGCCUUGCUAGGGACAUUCCAAAAAUCCUGUGCCUGAGACCCAACUGAUUUUUAUUUCACAGAAUCAGCUGGGUUAGAAAAGAUCUUUGGUAUUAUCAAGUCCAACCUAUUUGUUAAUAAGGAUGAGCAAGAAAUGACCAGGAUAAAACUCCUUUUGUGUCCCUGGCAUCAGGCAGAGAUGGGAAUGCUGCUGCUCACAGGUGGAAACUGAUGAUUCCAGAACUAUGUAAUGUGCUAUGAAAAUGAAACUUCUCCAGAUUAAUGAGGAAGGGCCAAAAAGGUGGAAAAAUGCCCUAUCCCUGCAGGCAGUCCUUGAGGAAGACAGC
Passer domesticus (house sparrow) is the source of this 1396-nucleotide long non-coding RNA. RefSeq lists it as uncharacterized. The transcript is spliced from 4 exons. The record is from RefSeq and is a predicted model, not a curated record. NCBI's taxonomy places the organism in Eukaryota, Metazoa, Chordata, Aves, Passeriformes, Passeridae.